Chinchilla lanigera (long-tailed chinchilla) is the source of this 275-nucleotide long non-coding RNA. RefSeq lists it as uncharacterized. The record is from RefSeq and is a predicted model, not a curated record. NCBI's taxonomy places the organism in Eukaryota, Metazoa, Chordata, Mammalia, Rodentia, Chinchillidae. The transcript has 3 exons.
AGAAUGUUGGAUAUGCUGAUGAGAGAAAGGUGUGCUCUGCUACUGUUGGUGAAAUGUUCUAAGUGUGUCAAAACCAGAAGACAUUCCCUCACUGGCCUCAACUGUGGAUCUAAAACACGAAGAGGAUGGAAUCCAAGCAAGACGAGGAAGAAGUGGAAAUUCUUAGGCUGGAAAAUUCUUCAGCAUUCUGUCACAGACCCAUCAGCCUCCUGAUACGGAUUUGCACAGACACUGGAGUGAGCUUCAGGCCUGAAACUGGGCUCUUCAAUCUCCAG